UUGAACUAAAAGAAAAAAAAAAUUCGGGUGCUUCAUGAUAGGUCGGCCGCAUGUUAAGUUUAUCAAAACCCGUUCUCUUAAUUAAAGGGUGAGACUCUAUAAAGAAAUUAUCGUUAACCGUUAUAAUUCAAUAAAUCUUCUUUACAUUUGCGAUCACAGAAUUCUCGACUAAUUAGCCGAUCAAUAUCCCUUACCAACGAGUCGGCCACAUCAUUAUUGAAUUAUCAGAAAAUAUUAUAUUUAUCAUGAAUUAUCAAAAAAU
This 262-nucleotide long non-coding RNA is filed under the name Manihot esculenta (cassava). RNAcentral's name for it is "long non-coding RNA (MESC_LNC005485)". The record is from RNAcentral. Lineage: Eukaryota; Viridiplantae; Streptophyta; Magnoliopsida; Malpighiales; Euphorbiaceae.